UAGCCACACGCCCACACCUCUCCUCCUCGCAUCUCUCAGGAGCGGCGGCGUGCCCCUCCGGCUCAACGCGGAGUAGAGCGACAGCACACCCCUCCGGUGCGGCAUGUGAACCUAAGCAGCGGCGCAGACCAGAGCUGCAGCGCCCUCCCGUCCCCUUCCCUCGACCCCAAGCCACGGCACGGUUUCGAGGCAACGGCGCGCUCCCUGGGCGGCGACGCGGCCUGGCACGGCCCCAAGACGCUGGUGCAUGCACCCAUCAAGCUCUUCGAGGGGCCAGUCCCCUGGCGGCUGUGCAUCCAGGCCCGGAGCUGCAACUCGUGUCCAGUAGGUUCCCCUCCAUAAUCCUAAUCUAAUCGAUUUGGCUUUGAUUUCAAUAUCUAUGCUGCAGAUCUAGUGAAGGGGAGGAGGAGGAGUAGAUCUAAUGAUGAUUUGGUGACUCCGUCUGCCUAUUUCCUUGAUGAAGACUUCCUAAGAGCAGAGUUAGGAAACCGACCAUUGCAGAUUCAAGGUCUAUUCCUACCGCUACAGUUUAGUUGCAUGAAUUUAUGUGUUGUUAUUUAUUAUUCUUAUAAUUUUUUGGCCUGAUGAGUUACUGAGUCCUGAUUGGUACAUCUAACUGAAGUAGGGUGUUUUAGAUUUUGGCCUGAUGAGUUACCGACCAUCAAGGAAAUCUACUGAGUCCUGAUUGGUACAUCUAACUGAAGUAGGGUGUUUUAUUAUUCUUAUAAUUUUUUGGCCUGAUGAGUUACCGACCAUCGCAGAUUGUUACAGUUUAGUAGCAUAUGUUUCAUCCAUAGGGUGUUUUAGAUUUUGGUAAAUUAGCAUGGGUGUUUUCUGUAUGGUCAGUAUGAAGGAAUUGGAAAGGCCAACUUUUGAUGCUAUCUUUGACAGGUAAGAGAACCAAAAUGAGCUUUCUGAGGCAUGUAUUUGUUAUAUGCAGUGGAUCUUCACUAUGUACUGAAUCAGGGCAAAUAAGAGUAGCAGCAAAAAUUCUACAUAUGGGUGAUACUUAGUGAUUUGUUGAUAAUGAGUUUUGCUCCAUUAACUAGUGAUUGUCUUGCCUAGAGAAAACUAGAAUAAGAGUAGCUGCAGAACUGAGGCGUUACUUAGUUGUUUAACUUCUGCAUCCUGAGUUCCUGACACAAGCACUUGUGUAUUUGUUAGAUUUUUUGUGAUUUGUUUGCACCUGUGAUUUGUAAAGUAACCAAUCUUAUUUCAUGUUGAUGCAAGAUGUGACCAGACUGGAUCUGCCUUCUAGAUAGCGAGCAGCAGUGCUUGGGCCGGUGGUUCCAUGGAUCUGUUCGUCUGCUGCUAUGUGGUAUACAACUAAUGAGAAUUGAAUAGGGAUAGUUAGUGAUUUGAUUUGAGGAUGAAUUUUGUGAGGAUGUGUGCUGGUUAUCUACUGAAUAAAAUUAUUUUUACUCAAUCUACUUUGGUGCAUGAUGAGUUGAAAAGCACAUCUGUAGGUAUAACAGGAUACGAAUGUUUGAGAAUUAAUAUGCUAGGAACAUCUGAUAAUCAGUACGGAGUAUGUUAAGAAAUUAAUGCAUUCUUGCUAUUUUUCAGACUAAGCAUAGCCUGCAGGCUAUAUUAAGGAACCACAGCAGGGCACUAGAGCACGACACUAUGACAUUGCAACUAGACCACAAAAUUAGUAAGUUGAGAACAUUGUUAUAGGUGUAUAUAAAAGAUCUACAUGCUUUUAGUAUGUAGUCCUGAGCUGAUCUAUCUAAUUAAACUAGAACCGUUAUAUCUUGUUCCACAAUCAGUAUUAUUUUAACUGCUUAUUGCUUCCUUAUUUCAGGCAUAUAGUGCACAUAGUUAAUUACAAGUGACUGUGAUGCAGGUAUCUAUUGGCUAAGUUAAUAUUUCUAUUAAAUUGCCUCGUAGUUGGACUAUCUAGGAUCAUGUGAUGCAGAGCCCACAGACCUACGGUAUGGAAACAGGCAUGGAGUUAGUGUUAUCUAACGUGGAUGCACAUGGCGACGUAGGGCAGCAGGGAAGCACCUUGCCUUUCUUGUCGAUUGGCAUUGGGUCAAUGGUGAUAAGUGUAGCUUUACUAACAUGUACAGCACCUCCUUUAGUAUUUGUUGAUGUUCCACUACACUUGUCAUCAUGUGAAUAUUUUAAACUAGGCAAACAUAGUGUGUAUGCUACUUAUAAUGUUGUAAUUGUAUUGCAUUUUAAAACUUGAAUGCUUGUGAUAUUGCAAUGAUUUGUGGAGAUUACUUAUUUGAA
This is a long non-coding RNA of Sorghum bicolor (sorghum), 2238 nucleotides long. RefSeq lists it as uncharacterized. The record is from RefSeq and is a predicted model, not a curated record. The transcript has 3 exons. Lineage: Eukaryota; Viridiplantae; Streptophyta; Magnoliopsida; Poales; Poaceae.